This 228-nucleotide long non-coding RNA is filed under the name Prunus persica (peach). Its description in RNAcentral is "long non-coding RNA (PPER_LNC005500)". The record is from RNAcentral. Lineage: Eukaryota; Viridiplantae; Streptophyta; Magnoliopsida; Rosales; Rosaceae.
AGGCAGUUAUCUCACCAAAUGAUAAAAUUCUAAAUAUUUAUUUUUUUUUGUUUCAAAGUUUGCAAAUUAUACAUUUUCAUCUAUUUUCUUCUGGAGUUCAGAAAUGCAAUCACUCAAAAUCACUUCGAGAGUUUGCAAAUUAUAAAUUUGCUAAAAGGCUUUAGUAUGUUAAAAAAUUUAGAGCUUGUAGGUCAUGAUUGGGAGCAAUUCUAAAGUUAAGCGUUUGAA